Molecule: ribosomal RNA, 1241 nt
Filed under: metagenome
Description: bacterial LSU rRNA
Rfam family: Bacterial large subunit ribosomal RNA
Source: RNAcentral
UGAGUACGAGAUGCUACGGCGUCGAAGCAGUCUAUGUCAUACUUCCAAGAAAAGCUUGCACUGUCAUAAACAAAGAAUGCCUGUACCAUAACCGACACAGGUGGGUAGGUAGAGUAUACUAAGGGGCGCGAGAUAACUCUCUCUAAGGAACUCGGCAAAAUGACUCCGUAACUUCGGGAGAAGGAGUGCCUUAUUUUUAAGGUUGCAAUAACAAGAUCCAAGCAACUGUUUACCAAAAACACAGGUCUCCGCUAAGUCGUAAGACGAUGUAUGGGGGCUGACGCCUGCCCAGUGCCAGAAGGUUAAAGAAGUUGGUUAGCAUUCGCGAAGCUGAUAACUGAAGCCCUGGUGAACGGCGGCCGUAACUAUAACGGUCCUAAGGUAGCGAAAUUCCUUGUCGGGUAAGUUCCGACCCGCACGAAAGGCGUAAUGAUUUGGAUACUGUCUCGGAGAGGGGCUCGGUGAAAUAGACUUGUCUGUGAAGAUGCGGACUACCUGCACCUGGACAGAAAGACCCUAUGAAGCUUUACUGUAACUUGAGAUUGAAAUUGGACUUUAUUUGCGCAGUAUAGGUGGGAGGCGUUGAGAAUAAUCUUGCGGGAUUAUGGGAGCCAUCAGUGAGAUACCACUCUUGUAAUGUUAGAUUUCUAACUUUGUAUCAUUAUCUGGUCAAAGAACAGUUUCAGGCGGGCAGUUUGACUGGGGCGGUCGCCUCCCAAAGGGUAACGGAGGCGCACAAAGGUUUCCUCUGAACGGGUAGAAAUCGUAUCUAGAGUGUAAAGGCAUAAGGAAGCUUGACUGUGAGACCUACAAGUCGAGCAGGGACGAAAGUCGGUCUUAGUGAUCUGACGGUGCUGAGUGGAAAGGCCGUCACUCAACGGAUAAAAGUUACUCUAGGAUAACAGGCUGAUCUCCCCCAAGAGUUCACAUCGACGGGGAGGUUUGGCACCUCGAUGUCGGCUCAUCGCAUCCUGGGGCGGUAGUACGUCCCAAGGGUUGGGCUGUUCGCCCAUGAAAGCGGUACGCGAGCUGGGUUCAGAACGUCGUGAGACAGUUCGGUCCAUAUCCGGUGUAGGCGUUAGAAUAUUGAAAGGAGCCUUCUCUAGUACGAGAGGACCGAGAAGGACAUACCUCUGGUGUACCAGUUAUCGUGCCAACGGUAAACGCUGGGUAGCUAUGUAUGGAGUGGAUAACCGCUGAAAGCAUCUAAGUGGGAAGCCCACCUUAAGAUAAGUAUUCUC